CUCUUAACAGACUUUGCUUCGCCCUCUUCAAGCUUUAUGCUCUUUUCAACUUCAGCAUGGUGCCCAAAUUCGCCUCAGCAAGGAACAUCUUCUGAAAAAUGGAUUAUAUCCUAAACCAAUGCCAAAGAACAAACGCAAACUCAGGAAAAUGGAAUUGUUAAUGAAUAGUGUUAAAAUUUAGUACAGUUAUUCUUUUGGUGCUAGCUUAACUGUCUUCAUCUAGCAAUACCAAAUUAAGUUUUUGUAUAGUUUAGGUCUGUAGGUUUUUAACUUGCUAAAGAAGAAUGAGAAUUGCAUACUAAUCUUACCCAGAAGAAGGAAGUAAACCAAAUAUUCAUAAAAACAAAUAAACAGAAAUUCACUGGCUCACUGAAAAGCAGGAUUUCAUACUGUACUUGUUUUUAAAAAUGUGCCUCUAAUACAUGUUUUCAAACCCAAA
RNAcentral lists this small RNA (439 nucleotides) under Pongo abelii (Sumatran orangutan). Its description in RNAcentral is "processed transcript". Lineage: Eukaryota; Metazoa; Chordata; Mammalia; Primates; Hominidae. The record is from RNAcentral.